Molecule: ribosomal RNA, 448 nt
Filed under: uncultured bacterium
Lineage: Bacteria
Description: bacterial SSU rRNA
Rfam family: Bacterial small subunit ribosomal RNA
Source: RNAcentral
UGGGGAAUAUUGGACAAUGGGCGAAAGCCUGAUCCAGCAAUGCCGCGUGAGUGAUGAAGGCCUUAGGGUUGUAAAGCUCUUUUUACCAGGGAUGAUAAUGACAGUACCUGGAGAAUAAGCUCCGGCUAACUCCGUGCCAGCAGCCGCGGUAAUACGGAGGGAGCUAGCGUUGUUCGGAAUUACUGGGCGUAAAGCGUACGUAGGCGGUGACUCAAGUCAGAGGUGAAAGCCUGGAGCUCAACUCCAGAACUGCCUUUGAAACUAGGUCGCUAGAAUCACGGAGAGGUGAGUGGAAUUCCGAGUGUAGAGGUGAAAUUCGUAGAUAUUCGGAAGAACACCAGUGGCGAAGGCGGCUCACUGGACGUGUAUUGACGCUGAGGUACGAAAGCGUGGGGAGCAAACAGGAUUAGAUACCCAUGUAGUCCCUGAGCGGGCUGGCAAGGCGCAU